CGAUCACUGAAGUUAAGCAGCGUAGAGCCAGGUCAGUACUUAGAUGGGGACCCGCUUGGGAACACCUGGUACUGUAAG
Acanthosepion pharaonis is the source of this 78-nucleotide non-coding RNA. NCBI's taxonomy places the organism in Eukaryota, Metazoa, Mollusca, Cephalopoda, Sepiida, Sepiidae. The record is from the annotation of a GenBank genome assembly.